UGAGGAGGAUGUUUCAAACUGAAGCAGGCGUGUGGCUGUUGCAAGCAGUGCGUUAUCCGAUGCUGCGUUCCUGUCCACAAAAAAACAACAAACCCAACACUCUCACAGGAUAUAUGCUAAGACAAUUAAUCCACACUUCUUCCACACACACACACACACUCUCUCUCUCUUGAUUGAUUGUGUUUGUGUUAGUGUUUUUGUGUAUAUCAUCAAACAUGUCAUCAGCUGUGGUUGCUGCAGGUGCCUCCUCAUCUUGCUCUGCUGCUUUUACAAGGAAUCAUUCCAUCAAAACUACUACUCCUCCUCUUCCUACUCCUCACUCCCAGAGAACCUCCUUUCAAGGGCUUUCUAUUCAAGAUGCCAAAAAGGGUCUCUUCAAUUCCUUCAUAGC
This is a non-coding RNA of Camellia sinensis, 391 nucleotides long. NCBI's taxonomy places the organism in Eukaryota, Viridiplantae, Streptophyta, Magnoliopsida, Ericales, Theaceae. The record is from RefSeq and is a predicted model, not a curated record.